RNAcentral lists this ribosomal RNA (913 nucleotides) under Fusarium solani. RNAcentral's name for it is "LSU rRNA". It matches the Rfam family "Eukaryotic large subunit ribosomal RNA", at positions 77 to 1023 of the family's 3401-position model. The record is from RNAcentral. Lineage: Eukaryota; Fungi; Ascomycota; Sordariomycetes; Hypocreales; Nectriaceae.
GCCCCAGUAACGGCGAGUGAAGCGGCAACAGCUCAAAUUUGAAAUCUGGCUCUCGGGCCCGAGUUGUAAUUUGUAGAGGAUGCUUUUGGUGAGGUGCCUUCCGAGUUCCCUGGAACGGGACGCCAUAGAGGGUGAGAGCCCCGUCUGGUUGGACACCGAUCCUCUGUAAAGCUCCUUCGACGAGUCGAGUAGUUUGGGAAUGCUGCUCUAAAUGGGAGGUAUAUGUCUUCUAAAGCUAAAUACCGGCCAGAGACCGAUAGCGCACAAGUAGAGUGAUCGAAAGAUGAAAAGAACUUUGAAAAGAGAGUUAAACAGUACGUGAAAUUGUUGAAAGGGAAGCGCUUGUGACCAGACUUGGGCUUGGUUGAUCAUCCGGGGUUCUCCCCGGUGCACUCUUCCGGCCCAGGCCAGCAUCAGUUCGCCCUGGGGGACAAAGGCUUCGGGAAUGUGGCUCUCUCCGGGGAGUGUUAUAGCCCGUUGCGUAAUACCCUGUGGCGGACUGAGGUUCGCGCAUUCGCAAGGAUGCUGGCGUAAUGGUCAUCAGUGACCCGUCUUGAAACACGGACCAAGGAGUCGUCUUCGUAUGCGAGUGUUCGGGUGUCAAACCCCUACGCGAAAUGAAAGUGAACGCAGGUGAGAGCUUCGGCGCAUCAUCGACCGAUCCUGAUGUUAUCGGAUGGAUUUGAGUAAGAGCAUACGGGGCCGGACCCGAAAGAAGGUGAACUAUGCCUGUGUAGGGUGAAGCCAGAGGAAACUCUGGUGGAGGCUCGCAGCGGUUCUGACGUGCAAAUCGAUCGUCAAACAUGGGCAUGGGGGCGAAAGACUAAUCGAACCUUCUAGUAGCUGGUUUCCGCCGAAGUUUCCCUCAGAUAGCAGUGUUGAACUCAGUUUUAUGAGGUAAAGCGAAUGAUUA